CAGCUUCAACUUCUACAGGUACGCAUCUUUUAUUAGACCUUACAAGAAAGAUGCAGCGACUUCUAUUAGACACAGACGGGAUAUAAAUAGGGGAGGGGGUUGAGUUACUCAGCGAAGAACCAAAAGCUCUAAAGGAAGAUGCACCAUAAGCUCUGAUCUUCAGCUUCCACUUCUUUUGGUGCAUCUUUUAUUAGACCUAUAACAAAGGUGGAUCGACUUCUAUUAGAUGCAACAUCUAGACGCAGCAACCACAUAUAAGAAAAAGGAAGAUAUAGUAGUUAGGAAGUGGAAGAUGAAUCAAUAGAGGAGGGACAAUUGAAAGAAAAAACGGUGAUGGUAAAAGUAAAGAUGGAGACAGCAAAAAUGGGGGAGCUAGAAAACUGUUCGAUGAAGAUGAUGAUUUACAGAGGCUGCUGUGCGGUGAAUGCCCUGGACAUCUUCAUCUUCAUUGAACUGUUCUAGCGCACCCAUAUUUGUUGUCUCCCUCGGUACUUCUACCAUCACAGUGUCCUCUCUUAAUUCUCCCUCCUCUAGUGAUUCAUCUUCCACUUCUCCCUCCUCUAGUGAUUCAUCUUCCACUUCCAUUUUAACUACUAUAUCUUUCUCUUUUUAUAGGGGAGGCGAGGAGGAGUGGCGCGAAGCCCUUUACGUACAUCCACCCUCUACGUACGUAUCUUAUGAGUUAUGAGGACUCUAAUGGCCUUCUGAAUUAGGGCAAGAUUAGUUAAUUGUUAGUGUGUUUUUCUGGGACGACAGGUGAUAGUGAGUUUUAUGUACUUUUGUACUCUGUAACCAAAAAAAGAAAAAGACUAUGGUUUGUAGGCAGAAGCUAAGCCUGUUUGGUAUCUUACCAAAAAAAUUUGGUUGUUCUUAAAAAUAAUUUUCAAAUAACAUCACUUAAAAACAGU
Molecule: long non-coding RNA, 908 nt
Filed under: Malus domestica (apple)
Lineage: Eukaryota; Viridiplantae; Streptophyta; Magnoliopsida; Rosales; Rosaceae
Description: long non-coding RNA (MDOM_LNC007039)
Source: RNAcentral